GGGAAGUCUGAUAAAGUUAUUUGGGUAAGGAAUGCAUGGGAAAUUAAAUUCAUGUGUUUGUGUGUUUAUUUAGUACUGGCGCUCCAGGAGAGCAAGAGUUUCUUCUCCUACACAUCCUGAUGAACAAAAGUUAAAGAGCAUGAAAACAGCUCUUAGGCCGUGUCCCAAAUGGCACCCUCAGCCCUCGCGGUCCUCCUCCGUGGUCCAGUCCCAUAUGGAACCCUCAGCUCUCCUCCGUAUCUAUACUUUGCCACGUGGGUUGUUAGAAAGCACAAUAACAGCCUGUUGCAGUUACGCUCACCCACCACAGAUACAGGAUGUGUGAGCAGGUCUCAGGGCAUCCAGCUGUAGGAACGCCAACUUGCAUUCAGCAAUACUGUAACCUUGUGACCUCCAUCGAUUGUGAGAACACUCUUUGAAAUCUGAAAUGACACUACUACUGUCCACAUCAAGUGUUCUAUCUAGGAAAGCUCCCUGUAAUGAAGACCAGUUCUGAAUGUAGAUAAGGUUCAGCUAUCAAGAUCAUGACAAAUAACAUUUCAUUUCAUAGGUAAAAUGGUAAGUUACUGUCUUCGUAAGAUCAGAAUCAGUAAAGAUUUGAAAAUAAAUGGUCAGGUUUUUCUACA
Long non-coding RNA from Cyprinus carpio (common carp), 626 nucleotides. The record is from Ensembl. Lineage: Eukaryota; Metazoa; Chordata; Actinopteri; Cypriniformes; Cyprinidae.